GACCGGCAUGCUGGAGUCGGUGCGGGCGGCGCGUGACGAACAUGCCGAUGCACCACUGCAUUACGAGCGGUUCAGUCCGCCGCCGGUCA
This 89-nucleotide transfer RNA is filed under the name Mycobacterium branderi. Its description in RNAcentral is "tRNA-Arg". Lineage: Bacteria; Bacillati; Actinomycetota; Actinomycetes; Mycobacteriales; Mycobacteriaceae. The record is from RNAcentral.